UACAUAUUUGGUGAAUGGUUAUUAACAAUAUUAAUCUCUCCGAGAUGUUUGGCAAAAUCUGCUUUUUGCAAGUCAAACUUGAUCGACCUUACUUCCACUCAUUGAUUCGUUGCCCAAUUCUUAAUCGAUACAUGUCCAAUUAAAUGACUCACUUUGUAGGAUGUAUAACCAUUAAUCCACAAAAUAUACAUUACAUAUGUAUCAUAUCUUAUGCAGUAAUAUAACCUUUUUUUUGUGGCUAUAGGAUGAUGAAACAGCUACUCUCCACACAUAUCUCCUCUCAAAACCAUAUGAAUUCUGUGAAUUACCAGGCUCAAAAUCCUUACAGUUACAUUUUCCUUUUGUUGCACACGCUACACCGUCUUCUAUUUGGCCAUUGAGAAUGUCUUUUUCAUUUUUAAAU
RNAcentral lists this long non-coding RNA (403 nucleotides) under Brassica napus (rape). Its description in RNAcentral is "long non-coding RNA (BNAP_LNC003551)". Lineage: Eukaryota; Viridiplantae; Streptophyta; Magnoliopsida; Brassicales; Brassicaceae. The record is from RNAcentral.